This 148-nucleotide non-coding RNA is filed under the name Nomascus leucogenys (northern white-cheeked gibbon). Lineage: Eukaryota; Metazoa; Chordata; Mammalia; Primates; Hylobatidae. The record is from Rfam by way of RNAcentral.
GCUGGGCAUGGUGGUGUGUGCCUGUAGUCUCAGCUACUCGGGAGGCUGAGGUGGGAGAAUCGCUUUAACCUGGGAGGCAGAGGUUGCAGUGAGCUGAGAUCACGCCACUGCACUCUUGCCUGGGUAACAGAGUGAGAUUCUAUCUCAA